This is a non-coding RNA of Bos taurus (domestic cattle), 73 nucleotides long. The record is from Rfam. NCBI's taxonomy places the organism in Eukaryota, Metazoa, Chordata, Mammalia, Artiodactyla, Bovidae.
ACCCUGGUGGUCCAGUGGCUAGGACCCCAUGCUCCCAAUGCAGGGGGCCCGGGUUCAAUCCCUGGUCAGGGAA